RNAcentral lists this ribosomal RNA (375 nucleotides) under uncultured organism. Its description in RNAcentral is "partial 16S ribosomal RNA". It matches the Rfam family "Bacterial small subunit ribosomal RNA", at positions 527 to 896 of the family's 1533-position model. The record is from RNAcentral.
GAAGGGCCCGAGCGUUGCGCGGAAUCACUGGGGCUUAAAGCGUACGUAGGCGGACAUGCAGGGCAUCUUGUGAAAGCCCUCGGGCUCAACCGAGGAACUGCAGGGUGAACCGCAUGUCUUGAGGUGAGUAGGGGCUGUCGGAACGAUAGGUGGAGCGGUGAAAUGCGUUGAUAUCUAUCGGAACGCCAAAGGCGAAGGCAGACAGCUGGGCUCAUUCUGACGCUGAGGUACGAAAGCGUGGGGAGCGAACGGGAUUAGAUACCCCGGUAGUCCACGCCGUAAACGAUGUGCACUAGAUCGAGGGAGUUCUGACACUAUUCUCGGUCGAAGCAAAAGUGUUAAGUGCACCGCCUGGGGAGUACGGUCGCAAGGCUA